RNAcentral lists this ribosomal RNA (1260 nucleotides) under Mesenchytraeus solifugus (glacier ice worm). RNAcentral describes it as "partial 16S large subunit ribosomal RNA". The stretch from base 579 to 1260 matches the Rfam family "Eukaryotic large subunit ribosomal RNA", at positions 1890 to 3115 of the family's 3401-position model. Lineage: Eukaryota; Metazoa; Annelida; Clitellata; Enchytraeida; Enchytraeidae. The record is from RNAcentral.
AUAAAUUUUAACAUCAUAUAAUAAAUAGAGCAAUAAAAAUAAUUUACUAAUAAAAUUUUUAAACACAUAAUAGCAUUACCGUAAGGGAACAAAAAUUAAAUUUAAGUAGUUUUAAACAAACGUACCUUGUGCAUAAUGGUUUUACAAGAACAAAUUUUAUAAUUUACUCCCGAAUUCUCUAUGAGCUGACUUAUAAAUGAUUAGCUCCUAUUACUAGUUGUGUCAAAAACUUUAAAAUAUUAUAAGUCAGAGGCUACAUACCAAUCGCAUGAGAAAAUCUCUGGUUUCCAUCAAAAUUUAUAUAUUAAAUCAACUAUAUAACUCCUAUGUAGUAUGUUAAAUAAUAGAGGACAAGCCCUAUUAUAAGAUCAAUUGCCUUAAAUAUAAUAAAUAAAGUAGGCCUAAAAACAGCCACCUAUAAAUACGUCACAGUAUACAAAAUAAACCAAUUUAUAAAUGAAAAAAAAUGAUAAAUAUAAAUGGAUAGUUACAACAACUAUGUGUAACAUAACUCUGUAAAAACAAGUAUUAAUUAAAAUAUAACAAAAACAAAUAAAAUAAAACUUAAAUAUAAAACAAUAAUAACUUUUAUCAAGAAACUCGGCAAAUAUCUAUUUCGACUGUUUACCAAAAACAUUGCUUAUUGAAUAUAAUAACAAGUAAUCUCCUGCCCAGUGAAUUUUAAACGGCCGCGGUAUCCUAACCGUGCAAAGGUAGCAUAAUAAUUUGCCCAUUAAUUGUGGGCUAGGAUGAAAGGGGUAACGAAAUAAGCACUGUCUCAAUAAAACAAAUAAAAACUAAUAUCCAAGUGAAGAAACUUAGAUUAGAUUAGAGGACAAGAAGACCCUAUAGAGCUUUAUCUUUUUAUGUUUAUACAGACAAAAGAUUCGGUUGGGGCGACCAUGGAUAAAUCAUCCAUAAUAAUUAAGACUAACUAGUCAAUAAAUAGAUCCUUUUAAGAUCACAGAAUCAAGCUACCUUAGGGAUAACAGGCUAAUCCUAUUAAAGAGCUCUUAUCGACAAUAGGGAUUGGCACCUCGAUGUUGGCUUAGAAUAUCUAUAUGGCGCAGAAGUCAUAAAAAGAGGGUUUGUUCAACCCAUAACAUUCUUCAUGAGCUGAGUUCAGACCGGCGUAAGCCAGGUUAGUUUCUAUCCUUAAUAUCCAUAUAAAUUUAUAGUACGAAAGGACCUAAAUUUUACAUAAAAUGUAAUAAAAAAAUAAAUAAAACAUCAUAUAAAUUUAAAUACCUAUACACUAUA